This 293-nucleotide ribosomal RNA is filed under the name uncultured bacterium. Its description in RNAcentral is "partial 16S ribosomal RNA". It matches the Rfam family "Archaeal small subunit ribosomal RNA", at positions 455 to 747 of the family's 1478-position model. The record is from RNAcentral.
GUGCCAGCCGCCGCGGUAAUACCGGCAGCCCAAGUGAUGGCCGAUCUUAUUGGGCCUAAAGCGUCCGUAGCUGGCCGCGCAAGUCCAUCGGAAAAUCCACCCGCCCAACGGGUGGGCGUCCGGCGGAAACUGCGUAGCUUGGGACCGGAAGGCUCAGAGAGUACGUCCGGGGUAGGAGUGAAAUCCCGUAAUCCCGGACGGACUACCGAUGGCGAAAGCACUCUGAGAAGACGGCUUCGACAGUGAGGGACGAAAGCUCGGGUCUCCAACCGGAUUAGAAACCCGUGUAGUCC